This 3133-nucleotide long non-coding RNA is filed under the name Callithrix jacchus (white-tufted-ear marmoset). RNAcentral describes it as "lncRNA (ENSCJAG00000083651.1)". The record is from RNAcentral. Lineage: Eukaryota; Metazoa; Chordata; Mammalia; Primates; Cebidae.
CUAUCCUGGCUACAGUUUUUUUUUUUUCAUUUUAUUUAUUUUCAAAUAACCAGCUUUUAGUUUUGUUGAUUUUCCUAUUGAUUUACUGUUUAUAAUUUCAUUGAUUUUUUUUUUGCUCAAUUUUUAUUAUUUGUUUUUUCUUCUGCUAACUUUAAAUUUAAUUUGCUCUUCUUUUCCUAGUUUCCUAAGGUGGAAGCUUAGAUAAUUAUUUUUAGAUGUCUUUUCUUUUCUAAUAUAUGGAUUCAGUGCUAGACAUUUAUUUGUAGGCACUGCUUUCGAUCGUUAUCAAAUUUUGGUAAGUUGUAUUUUCAUUUUCCUUCAGUUCAAAAUACUUUUAAAUUUCUCUCGAGAUUUCACUAUUGGUCUGUGUAUUAUUUGGAAUGUGUUAUUUACUCCUCAAGUGUUUCGGAAUUUUUCAACUACCUUCCUGUUAUUAAUUUCUAGUUUAACUUUUUGUAGUCUGAGAGCAGACAUUGUACAAUUUGUUUUUCUUUACGUUUAUUAAGUUGUGUUUUGUAGCCCAGAAUGUGGUCUAUUUUGGUGAAUUGUCCAUGUAAUCUUAAAAAGAAUGUGUAUUCUACUGUUGCUGGCUGAAAUAGUCUAUAUAUGUCCAUUAUAUUCAGUGGAUUAAUGGUGUUGCUGAAUUUAACUAUAUCAUUUUCUGAUUUUCUGCCUGCAAGAUCUGUCUAUUUCGGAGAAAGGAAUGUUGAAGUCUUUAGCCAUAAUACUGGAUUCAUCUAUUUCCUCUUGAAAUUCUAUUCUGGUUUCCUGUGCUUCAAACUUGGUUUCUCCUUCAUCCUGGAUACUUCCAGAGCCGGGGACCACUCAUAUGAUAAUGCCAGGUGAGAAAAUAUACAGGGGAGUAGGGUUCCUUUGGAAGCCAAGACUACACAUCAAAUCUGCCAACAACAAAUAACAAAACACAGAAGUUGGUUGACCAUGAUUGCCUGAAAGCCAUAGUGAGUAUUUGCGUGUGUGUUGUAUCCUGUUAAAAUCAAACUAAAUGUACAUCAUACCCAACCUUCCUAUUGUAGGCUGGCUUCUCUAUAAGCAGAUGCUGGGAGGCUAUUUGGGGUGCAAUAUGUUCCUUAGGAGUCAACAGCUGUGAUGGGAAGAAGAGGAUGCAGGAUCACACGAAGGAAGACAUCAACAGUGCUGUAGAGAGCCCUGUAGACAGUAGCAUUUGUCAGAGUGUUCGCCAUUGAGCUGAGAGGCCUGGGCAUUCCUAUUCUUCUCAGUCAAUCACCAGGUGAGAGGGCUGCCCUGGCAAGGGUUUGCCCUCAGCAUAGAGGCUCUCCCCAGAGGAGCUGGCAGCUGCAGACUGCUGACCACACUUCUGCAGGUGAGAUGCAAGUCCUUUCUUAAAGGGGAAUUUGAGUGGCCUAGCUGCAAGUCUACCACGUACCCCUUAUCCAGAGCCCCCAAAAUGCCUACAGUCCCUCCAACACCACCUGACAGAAACAGAAGGCUAACAUAGAAAUCAGCAUGGAAAGAGAUAGCGGCCUAAGCUGAUUGUGACUAAAAGCAUCUUACUUUACAGAUUUCACAAAAGCAUAUGAUCACGUGGGAAAAAGGCUAGGGUCCUUUCAGGGGCUUAUUAGGGUCCCAUGCAAGGGGCCCUGAAGCUUAAGUUCACUAGCAUCCACUAAACCUGGGAGUAUAUUCACAACGUUACAUCCCCCAAAGCAACCACCCCAGAGGGAUUCACAGAAUAAUUCCACCAAACCUUUAAGGACCUUAAUCGAAUGUGACUCAAACUGUUCCAGUACACAGAAGUAUAAAGCAGUUUUGAAAUUCUUUUUUUUUUUUUUUGAGAUUAGCAUAUUAAAACCUAAACCAUAUAUAAAGAGAAAAAAAAGUAAAUUGCAGAACUAACUAAUUUACCUAAAUUGAUAACAAACAGAAUCCAGAAUGCAUUAAGUAAGUAAUACUAUAAUCAAGGGGGUCUUAAUCCAAGGGUGGUGAAAUGUUAGGGAAUCCAUCCAUGUAAUUCAUCAAAGAAAUAGAUCAAAAGAAAAAAUUAUGAUUAUCUCUAAAGAUACUGAAAAGUUAUUGGAUAAGAUUCAAUAGCUCAUCUUAAUAAAACUUUAAGCAAUAAAAAGAGAAAUGCUUCUUUAUAGGACAUAUCACUAUAUGAAUAUAUACUUUAAAUAUACCUUAACCUGAAAAGCAACAUUAUGACUAAUGAAGAAACAAUAGACUCAUUAAAUUCAAUUUCAACAGAAUUUUUUGGGGAGAUCUAGAUAAGUUGAGCAUAAAAUUAAUAUGGAAAUCAGACAAGCAGAGAGAGUUAAAAAUGCUAGAAAAGAAGAACAAUUAAGGGAAUCUAGGCUUUCCAUUUAUUAAAACAUGUUAUACAUCUACACUAAUUAAAGCAGUGUGGUAUUGCUAUAUGCAUGCACAGGCAGGUCAGUGAAAUAUACCAGAAAGUGCAGAAUAUAAAUGCAAUUACCUAUGAGAACUUAAUAUUUGAAAAAGGGAUAAAGGAACUUCAAAAAAUGGAGUUGGGAAAAUGGGGUAGCCAUCUGCAAAAAAUACGUAUCUUGCUGGCUCCUGACCUCACCCACACUAGAAAAUAAGCUCCCUAUUUUUUAAAGAAUGCAAUACAAAUUGAAACCAUAAAAUACUAGAAGAAAAUAUGGAGAAUUUUAAAAAAUUAAUCUUGGAGAGAGGAAGUCAUUUCCUAGAACACAAAACCAACAUGAAAUAUAAAUGUAACCAUAUAAAUGUAAAAAUAGAAUUCUGCAAAGAAAAAAAUAAACAUAAAGUCAAAGGCAAACCACAAAGUAGGAGCAAAUAUUUGCAACUCAGACUGCAAAUAGAGAAAUCAUCUGUUUUAUAGAGAGGUUUUACAAAUCAACAUAAAAAAGAUAAAAACACCUAAAGGAAAAAUAGCCAAAACAGUUUAUAAAAUAGGAAAUUCAAAUGUUUUUUAUACAUGUAAAAAGAUGCUCGGUCUGAUAAUAAAAGAAAUGCAAAUUAGUACUAGACUGAAGUAUCAUUUUUUGCCUAUCAGAUUGGUAAAGUUAAGAACAUUUAAUAACAUUCUGUGCCGGCAUGGUGUGUGUGGAAAUAGAAACUCUCCUGUAAUGGGAGUGUCAUCUGCACAUUCUCCCUAGGGGGGCAAUUUGAC